GAAUCUGGUAGGACCAUCCCCCAAGGCUAUUUACACCCUCGUGAUCGAUAGUGAGCCAGUACCGUGAGGGAAAGAUGAAAAGCACCCCGGCAGGCGCUUGGACGAUACCCCGAAACCGUGUGUCUACAAAUUGCAAGAGCCUGUUCACGGGUGAUGGGGUGCAUUUUGUAGACUGUACCAGCGAAUUACGUCCCCGUGCGAGGUUAAGCUGA
This 212-nucleotide ribosomal RNA is filed under the name Bacillus cereus. RNAcentral describes it as "partial 23S ribosomal RNA". It matches the Rfam family "Bacterial large subunit ribosomal RNA", at positions 440 to 654 of the family's 2925-position model. Lineage: Bacteria; Bacillati; Bacillota; Bacilli; Caryophanales; Bacillaceae. The record is from RNAcentral.